This 253-nucleotide ribosomal RNA is filed under the name uncultured bacterium. RNAcentral describes it as "partial 16S ribosomal RNA". It matches the Rfam family "Bacterial small subunit ribosomal RNA", at positions 524 to 776 of the family's 1533-position model. The record is from RNAcentral.
UACAGGGGGGGCAAGCGUUGCUCGGAAUUACUGGGCGUAAAGGGCUCGUAGGUGGCCAACUAAGUCAGACGUGAAAUCCCUCAGCUUAACUGGGGAACUGCGUCUGAUACUGGAUGGCUUGAGUUUGGGAGAGGGAUGCGGAAUUCCAGGUGUAGCGGUGAAAUGCGUAGAUAUCUGGAGGAACACCGGUGGCGAAGGCGGCAUGCUGGACCAACACUGACGCUGAGGAGCGAAAGCCAGGGGAGCAAACGGG